CUCAGAGUCCAGAGGUUGGACUGGAGGAGACGGGACGGAGCAGGAAGUCACUUCCUUCCUCCCGUCAGUCAUUCAUUCAUUCAUCAGCUGCCAGCCGCAAACAGGUGACCGGUGUUGGACAUCGAGAGGAGGUCCCGCUCUCUGCUCACGCAGUAUGUGAGGGUCAUCUCUCACCCAGAGAAGCCGCCACCCCACCACCGACCCGCUCCUCCUGAGGAAGCUGGACUUCCUGAGACCCGACGAUCGUCCUGAGACGCAGCAACAUCUACCAGGAGGACGGCUUUGAAGAUGCAGGGGGCGCUGAAGAGACCAACCCUGACGUAUUCGGAUGCCUGCUGGACGUGGAGGAGACCCGGCCAGAGCUGGAGGAGGAUCUGGGGUCUGCAACUUCCUCCACCCCGCCGUACGAGCUGGAGUUGUCCAGUCACCGAAGUCCCAACCCUCCUGGACCAGGGCCCGCUUGAGCCCGCACAGGAGACUUCCUCGCCAAAGCCAGAUGUUCUGCAGCAGUUUGCCCAGGUGGCGGACAUGCGGCGCACCAGAGACCCGCUGGUGUUGUCUGACUGGUGCAAGACUGAGUCAGUGGAUGAAGACUGCUGACCUCAGCGCUUCACGUGUCGUCAGUCUGGCUCCAUUCUGGACCAGACGCCCAGCUGCUGACUGGUUUUCUGCGCCGUCUGCGGGAAGUUCAGCACUAGAAUUGCCAGCGCCCCCCAGUGGAGGUCUCAGCGUGGGAAUGAAGACAGGGCCGAACCACCCUGACGUGGAGGAGUCAGGUCCACCAGGCUCAGGUGGAGGAAGGACUUUAUGGUAUUAUAUUGUGGCUUUAUGAGGUACAUUUACACACAAUUAUUUGGGGGAUCCAGAACAGAACCACCAGUAAAUGGUUCGACAAAACCAAACAAAGUAAUAAAACUGCAAGCCCUUCCACUGAAGAAAGAGAGGAAGGUGGAGGCUGGGAAUGAGCCCAUCAAAAGGCCCAGCUGGUCCGGUGUUUUCCAAUGAAACGGUACAAUAGCUCAUCAUGCAAGCGCACGUCUUUUGGGGAAAAAAAAACAAUAAUUUUGGUCCGACAUGUCUUACGUGUAAUUGACGUCAUCGUGAAAAGUUGGCCUCGUCUGUGCCUGUGUGAAAUACGCGCGUUCAUUCUUUAUUUGUAUGCUAAUUAAACG
Synchiropus splendidus (mandarinfish) is the source of this 1172-nucleotide long non-coding RNA. RefSeq lists it as uncharacterized. The transcript has 3 exons. The record is from RefSeq and is a predicted model, not a curated record. Lineage: Eukaryota; Metazoa; Chordata; Actinopteri; Syngnathiformes; Callionymidae.